This 301-nucleotide ribosomal RNA is filed under the name uncultured bacterium. RNAcentral describes it as "partial 16S ribosomal RNA". It matches the Rfam family "Bacterial small subunit ribosomal RNA", at positions 509 to 809 of the family's 1533-position model. The record is from RNAcentral.
CAGUCGCCGCGGGAAUACGUAGGGUGCGAGCGUUAAUCGGAAUUACUGGGCGUAAAGCGUGCGCAGGCGGUUCGUUAAGACAGAUGUGAAAUCCCCGGGCUUAACCUGGGAACUGCAUUUGUGACUGGCGAGCUAGAGUAUGGCAGAGGGGGGUAGAAUUCCACGUGUAGCAGUGAAAUGCGUAGAGAUGUGGAGGAAUACCGAUGGCGAAGGCAGCCCCCUGGGCCAAUACUGACGCUCAUGCGCGAAAGCGUGGGGAGCAAACAGGAUUAGAUACCCGGGUAGUCCCUGUCUCUUAUAA